Long non-coding RNA from Acipenser ruthenus (sterlet), 435 nucleotides. RefSeq lists it as uncharacterized. The transcript is spliced from 4 exons. The record is from RefSeq and is a predicted model, not a curated record. Lineage: Eukaryota; Metazoa; Chordata; Actinopteri; Acipenseriformes; Acipenseridae.
UGAAACUCUCUGCAAACUAAUAAGUCUUACCGGAAAUAAGCAAUUCGUCCGACUUUAAUAUUAUUGUGUAAUAUUAUUUUAAAACUAACAAAAAACAUUUUAUAUUUUAAAUUUGCAAGCGACCCAGUGCCUUACCUUCCCGUACUUUGAAAACCACUGUAUUAAAGGACCAGAGGGAGAACCUGUAUUGUGAAACUCCCUUUCAGACUAGACUUAAGGUUUCACGGCAGUUCUUUGGGGAACCAGACUUCCCAAGUUCCGUUAUAAGAUGUCCAGCAGGUGUCACUGUCAUCCGGAUAGUGCAGAAAACCAGUUUCCUGGGUUCCCCCUGCUGGAGGAAAUUAAAGUUUGCAGACCACUGUUUCUCAGUCCUUGGUGGUAUUCUUUCAAACAAGACUGGUGUGCUCACAAACAAUAAACUGUUUCACCACUUUG